GGGAUCUUCCCGAUGCAGUGGACGGAUGCAGGGAUUGAACUCGCCUCUCCUGCAUUGCAGGCGUUUUCUCUACCACUGAGCCGUCAGGGAAGCCCCUAGAUGACGUUUCGAUGAAACUUUGAAUUUUGGGCUUUAGAGCUGUUAAAAAUGACUCCCUCGUCCCCGUACUGGGGAAACAGACAAGCCAUGGCACGUCCAUGCGAAGGACUAGUUCUCAGCAAUGAAAAGGAAGGAACCACUGACCCAGGCAACAGCAUGGAUGAAGCCAACCUGCUUUAAGCUGAGUGAAGAAAGCCAAACUCAAAAGACUGUGCUGGGGAAAGAGGAAGAGAGGCUGGAAGGGGUGGCCGAGAAUAAUAGUGUUAGAGGGACCAUUUGCUCUUCAUAGGAAACAACUUUGUCUUAGAUACAGUUUAAGCAGAAAAGAAGUAAAUCUCUGUUUGGCAUUCCAAGCACAGUUUCUUUUCAUCUAAGAAUACACUUGACUUUAGGCAAUCAAUUCUUUUUAGACAGUAAAAUAAAUAAAUAAAU
Molecule: long non-coding RNA, 531 nt
Organism: Bubalus bubalis (water buffalo)
Lineage: Eukaryota; Metazoa; Chordata; Mammalia; Artiodactyla; Bovidae
Exons: 2
Source: RefSeq, a predicted model, not a curated record